GAUGAAGAACGUAGCGAAAUGCGAUAAUUAAUGUGAAUUGCAGAAUUUAGUGAAUCAUCGAAUCUUUGAACGCGCAUUGCGCCCCUUGGUAUUCCGGGGGGCAUGCCUGUUCGAGCGUCAUUUCAACCCUCAAGCUCUGCUUGGUAUUGGGCCGCGCCGGCGACGGCGGGCCUCAAAAACAGUGGCGGCGCCAUCUGGUUCCUCAGCGUAGUAAUUCUUCUCGCUGUUGGGCCCGGGUGGCCGCUGGCCAGCAACCCCAAAUUUUCUAUGGUUGACCUCGGAUCAGGUAGGGAUACCCGCUGAACUUAAGCAUAUCAAUAAGCGGAGGA
This 329-nucleotide unclassified non-coding RNA is filed under the name soil metagenome. Its description in RNAcentral is "partial contains 5.8S ribosomal RNA, internal transcribed spacer 2, and large subunit ribosomal RNA". The stretch from base 1 to 120 matches the Rfam family "5.8S ribosomal RNA", at positions 35 to 154 of the family's 154-position model. The record is from RNAcentral.